UCACAGUUACAUUCUCUUUAGUUUUAUGAGAAUCCAAUGGCACAACCUCUAGAUAAAACUGUUACGGUUUCUUACGCAUCGACGAAGACGCCGGCGAACUUGGAGCGUGAUUGGAGGCUCCAUAAAACCAUUUAGAUGAUGAAGUUGUUAAAGAUGACAACAAAUUCACACCUUUCGCUGCUUAAAUCGAUCUAAAUCAUUUUGAUCACGUCGAACCUACAACAAUCAACAAAUUUCAGUAAAAUCAUUUAUAACAAAGAAUCACUUAU
Molecule: long non-coding RNA, 269 nt
Filed under: Medicago truncatula (barrel medic)
Lineage: Eukaryota; Viridiplantae; Streptophyta; Magnoliopsida; Fabales; Fabaceae
Description: long non-coding RNA (MTRU_LNC006039)
Source: RNAcentral